AUGGCUAGUCCUUUAUCUACUCCGCUGUCUCCCGAGAAUGAAGUUCUUAAUUUUAAACAAAGAGAGGGAGAAAGUCUAAAAGAUGCUUGGUAUAGAAUCUAUAACGCUCAAAAUAAAUCUGCUAGAAAGCAAUCUACUACCAUUUUACUUUGCAAUUUUUAUGUAGGCAUCACCCCUUGGCAUAGAUAUAUUCUUGAUACCAUUACCGGAGGAAACUUUUUUGGUAGCCAUACGUUUGAUUCUUAUAAUGCUAUGAUAGAUUUGUUUGGCUCACCACCUCUUUUGGUUAAUGGAACUAUUUUAACUUUGGAACAUGUGAUGCAACGGCUUGAAAUUAUUGAAAAUAAAAUUGCCACUGUAGAGUUGAUUGAAAUUUUGGAUAAAAAGAUCCAUAAUCAAAUUACCCAAUACGGAUCUAAGAUAGGAGUUGCUCUUAAUUUUUUUAAAGAAAAGGAACCUAUGGUUAAUGAAAGGAUAGAUCAAGAUUCCACUAGAAUUAAUAAAAUUGAGGAUAUUAUUACUAACCUAGGAUCUGCCUUUUCUUCCUUGAAAAACACUUCUUCCAAUGCUAAGCUUGCCAAGUUAAUGUAUGUUCCUAAGAAUAAGGGUGAAACUUCUAGUAAAGGGAAGGCGGACCUUAAAUCCAUAAGUGUUCACCCCGAUCUUUUCGCUAUCCUUAAGGAACCUUUUGCCACAAGAGAUUUCUUUGAUUUCGUGCCUAGAAGUUUGAUUAUUAAUAAAAAGAAAGAAACCCGUAGGGGUGAUAGGCGCCUUAUUGAAGAAUUGCCUACCAAAGAUGGCAAUACCUAG
RNAcentral lists this ribosomal RNA (810 nucleotides) under Triticum aestivum (bread wheat). Its description in RNAcentral is "partial small subunit ribosomal RNA". Lineage: Eukaryota; Viridiplantae; Streptophyta; Magnoliopsida; Poales; Poaceae. The record is from RNAcentral.